GUUGCUUGAUAUCUAAGCGUGGUGUAGCUGCAGUGCCUUAUCUUUAUUCUUUGGUGCCUGACGGAUAUCAUUCUGUAUUCAGUAUGGUACAAAUAUUUCUUACGGUGCACCAGCUUGCAAAAAGGUUUAUGACCACCUACUAUCGGCGGAUCAUGUUAUUAAAUUUGGCAUCUGUUCUGUCCACGAGAUUGGAUUGUCAGAUGGUGUUCUCUUCAUUUAUUGGCCAUUUUGGCAUUAUCUUUUAUAGAAACCUGC
This 255-nucleotide long non-coding RNA is filed under the name Elaeis guineensis (African oil palm). Its description in RNAcentral is "long non-coding RNA (EGUI_LNC034285)". The record is from RNAcentral. Lineage: Eukaryota; Viridiplantae; Streptophyta; Magnoliopsida; Arecales; Arecaceae.